GAUGAACGCUAGCGGCAGGCCUAAUACAUGCAAGUCGGACGGGAUUCAGGAGCUUGCUUCUGAUGAGAGUGGCGCACGGGUGCGUAACACGUAUGUAACCUACCUUUAUCAGGGGGAUAGCCUCUCGAAAGAGAGAUUAAGCCCGCAUAAAAUCACAGCACAGCAUUGUGUAAUGAUCAAAUAUUUAUAGGAUAAAGAUGGGCAUGCGGAACAUUAGCUAGAUGGCGGGGUAACGGCCCACCAUGGCGACGAUGUUUAGGGGAUCUGAGAGGAUGGCCCCCCACAAUGGUACUGAGACACGGACCAGACUCCUACGGGAGGAAGCAGUAAGGAAUAUUGGUCAAUGGGCGGAAGCCUGAACCAGCCAUGCCGCGUGCAGGAAGACGGCCAUACGGGUUGUAAACUGCUUUUAUACGGGAAUAAACCCAGAUACGUGUAUCUGGCUGAAUGUACUGUAAGAAUAAGGAUCGGCUAACUCCGUG
Molecule: ribosomal RNA, 482 nt
Filed under: uncultured bacterium
Lineage: Bacteria
Description: partial 16S ribosomal RNA
Rfam family: Bacterial small subunit ribosomal RNA
Source: RNAcentral